This 1676-nucleotide long non-coding RNA is filed under the name Equus caballus (horse). RNAcentral's name for it is "lncRNA (ENSECAG00000049571.1)". The record is from RNAcentral. Lineage: Eukaryota; Metazoa; Chordata; Mammalia; Perissodactyla; Equidae.
CCAACAUAUAGAAAGGCAUGCUGAUUGACUCAAAGUUUUGUUUCAGUAAAUUAUGGUUGAUUAUACAAACGGUUUUCCUUAGUUGAGACAAUUCAGAGUUCAUCAAAAUCAUCAUAUGAAGUCCAUCAUCAAUGGUAUUACCAUUCCAUCCCGUGUCCCUUCGGGAAAUAGCUACAGUUAGAGAUCAGGAUAUAUGGCCAUGAACUGCCUCAGUACUGGCCCCUGAAAUAUCUAUAAAUAGUAUAUCUCAGAUGUGAAUCCAAGUAAUGGUAGAUUUUGCCCUGAGAAUUCCAUUCGAGGUAAUCGUAUAAAACCUAUCAAUCAACCAACAAACAAAAAUACAGUGAAUGCUAUUUUACCUACAAAUAGAAAAUCUGUUGUAGGACUUUUUCAUGGUGAACAUAUCCUGUCUUUUUUGCAUUCUUUCUAUCACAGAUUGAGGCACCCAACCGCAGUGGCCAAGCUGAGGUGAGAGCUGCUGCUCUGCACAGAGAACAGUGACACUCGCCUCUCACCAGCCCCGAGGCCCACGCCCCCAGGUACCUCUCCCAGAUGGAAUCAUCUUCGCAGGCGCCCCGGUCGUCCGUGUCCGGCGAGCAGGAAGAGCGGGAGCUGAAGGACGGCCUCCUCAGGCUAGCGGCCGUGGCUGUGGAGGGCCCGGGCUGCUGUGCCCAGCGGGGACACGGAGCGGCGUCCACGGACGCCGGGGGAACGGACGAGCCCGGCCCGGGAGAGAGCAGCACAGCGCGGCCGGACUCCGCCGGGCUCGGCUCUGGGCAGGCAGGCGCGGCUCGCCCACGCCUCCCACGCCUCCCAGGACGGCGGCCCAGCAGCCGCGCGCUCCUCUCCUCGCGCGCACGCAUGCGCCGCCGCCCAGACGCUGCCCGGCCGUUGCCCCGCCCCCACUCUGGCGGUGGACUGCGGACAGCGACGGGGACACCCUCCUGGCAGAACUCCUGCGGCCCCGCCCACACGCUGCUUAGGACCUCCGCGGAGCGGCAAGGUGCGCUGACAGGGACGCAGGGUCCCCGCUACGCUCUCUCUCGGGGAACUGCAGCCUCCUCGGGUUUGACUUGAAUGUCACACCCGAAACCACGCAACGCCUACAAGAAAACAUAGGCAGUAUGCUCUUUGACAUCAGUCUUAGCAGCCUAUUUUCAAGUACCACGUCUGACUGGGCAAUGCAAACAAAACACAAAAGGAACAAAUGGGACGGCAUCAAAGUAAAAGAAAUCUUCUGCACGGCAAAGGAAACCAUCCACAAAACCAAAACACAACCUAACAACCGGGAGAACAUACUUGCAAACCAUAAAUCGGAUAAGGGGUUUAUAUCCAAAAUACAGACAGAACUCACACAGCUCAACAACAACAAAAAGCAACAACCCACAUAAGAAGACGGGCUAAAGAUCUGAGCAGUGAUCUCUCCAAAGAAGACAUACGGAUGGCCAACCGGCCUAUGGAAAGGGGCUCCACGUCUUUAGCCAUCAGAGAAAGGCAAAUCAAAACUACAAGGAGAGGUCACCUUACUCUGCUCAGAAUGGCUCUAAUUAACGAGACAAGACACAGUGUGGGAGAGGAUGUGGAGAGAAGGGAACUCUCCUACACUGCUGGUGGGAGUGCAGACUGGUGCAGCCACUAUGGAAAGCAGUAUGGAGUAGCCUCGGAAAACUAAGAAU